AUACUUACCUGGACGGGGUCGAUGGGUGAUCAAGAAGGCCCAUGGCCUAGGUUGGCGACCUUCAUUGCACUAGGGAGGGGUGCCCGCCUAACAUCUCCCCGAGUGGGAGAGUGUACGUCAUAAUUUGUGGUAGCGGGGGUACGCGUUCGCGCGGCCCCUA
This 160-nucleotide small nuclear RNA is filed under the name Nelumbo nucifera (sacred lotus). RNAcentral describes it as "U1 spliceosomal RNA". It matches the Rfam family "U1 spliceosomal RNA". From Rfam's summary of the family: U1 is a small nuclear RNA (snRNA) component of the spliceosome (involved in pre-mRNA splicing). Lineage: Eukaryota; Viridiplantae; Streptophyta; Magnoliopsida; Proteales; Nelumbonaceae. The record is from Rfam by way of RNAcentral.